CAUUAAGAAGCUAUGUAUCAGCACUAGCUUUUAAGCUAGAUAAAGAGGGGGGUCCCCCCUCCUUAAUGA
This 69-nucleotide transfer RNA is filed under the name Ara glaucogularis (Blue-throated macaw). RNAcentral describes it as "tRNA-Lys". The record is from RNAcentral. Lineage: Eukaryota; Metazoa; Chordata; Aves; Psittaciformes; Psittacidae.